UCUUCCGAUCUGGCAUGCAAAGGUUUCCUCGGGCCAGACGGACAUUGGUCCUCGAAUGCAAAGGCAGAAGGGAGCUUGACUGCAAGACUCACCCGUCGAGCAGAGACGAAAGUCGGCCUUAGUGAUCUGACAGUGC
Long non-coding RNA from Triticum dicoccoides, 136 nucleotides. RefSeq lists it as uncharacterized. The record is from RefSeq and is a predicted model, not a curated record. Lineage: Eukaryota; Viridiplantae; Streptophyta; Magnoliopsida; Poales; Poaceae. The transcript has 3 exons.